CGAUGCUAUUGCCCUUAAGAGCGGCUGGGAUGAAUAUGGCAUUUCCUAUGAUAGAGCUACCAGAGAUGUGCACAUAAGAAGGGUCCACCUUCAAUCAUCUUCAGGCUCUUCCAUUGCUUUUGGUAGUGAGAUGUCUGGUGGAAUUUCUAAUGUGCGCGUGGAGCAGGUCCGCCAAUACAACUCAUUUAGUGGGAUUGAGUUUAGAACAACCAAGGG
RNAcentral lists this unclassified non-coding RNA (216 nucleotides) under Hevea brasiliensis (rubber tree). The record is from RNAcentral. Lineage: Eukaryota; Viridiplantae; Streptophyta; Magnoliopsida; Malpighiales; Euphorbiaceae.